RNAcentral lists this ribosomal RNA (222 nucleotides) under uncultured bacterium. RNAcentral's name for it is "partial 16S ribosomal RNA". It matches the Rfam family "Bacterial small subunit ribosomal RNA", at positions 524 to 741 of the family's 1533-position model. The record is from RNAcentral.
UACGUAGGGUCCGGAGCGUUAAUCGGAAUUACUGGGCGUAAAGCGUGCGCAGGCGGUUUUGUAAGCCAGAUGUGAAAUCCCCGGGCUCAACCUGGGAAUUGCGAUGGAGACUGCAAGGCUAGAAUCUGGCAGAGGGGGGUGAGAAUUCCACGUGUGAGCAGUGAAAUGCGUUAGAGAUGUGGAGGAAUACCGAUGGCGAAGGCAGCCCCCUGGGAUAACACU